UAUUUUGAUAUAUUUAUCACAAAUCUUUUUUCGCAUAAAUCUUUAUAAAAUAAGUUGUCAUUUUAAUAAAUUUUAUUUAAAUAAAAUUAACUAUUAAAUUAUUUUUAUAUAACUUUUAUUUAAUUAAUAAUUAGAGUUAUAAAAUUAUUUAAAAAUAUAAAAAAUUAAAAUUUAUUAAAAAAAAUUUUAAAUUCGCAGCAUCACACGGGUAUUUUACUAGUGUUGUCAAUAUAGAGGAGAAU
Molecule: long non-coding RNA, 242 nt
Filed under: Ananas comosus (pineapple)
Lineage: Eukaryota; Viridiplantae; Streptophyta; Magnoliopsida; Poales; Bromeliaceae
Description: long non-coding RNA (ACOM_LNC014466)
Source: RNAcentral